This 497-nucleotide ribosomal RNA is filed under the name uncultured bacterium. RNAcentral's name for it is "partial 16S ribosomal RNA". It matches the Rfam family "Bacterial small subunit ribosomal RNA", at positions 28 to 507 of the family's 1533-position model. The record is from RNAcentral.
GAUGAACGCUGGCGGCGUGCCUAAUACAUGCAAGUCGAGCGAACAGAUGAGGAGCUUGCUCCUCUGACGUUAGCGGCGGACGGGUGAGUAACACGUGGAUAACCUACCUAUAAGACUGGGAUAACUUCGGGAAACCGGAGCUAAUACCGGAUAAUAUAUCGAACCGCAUGGUUCAAUAGUGAAAGACGGUUUUGCUGUCACUUAUAGAUGGAUCCGCGCCGCAUUAGCUAGUUGGUAAGGUAACGGCUUACCAAGGCAACGAUGCGUAGCCGACCUGAGAGGGUGAUCGGCCACACUGGAACUGAGACACGGUCCAGACUCCUACGGGAGGCAGCAGUAGGGAAUCUUCCGCAAUGGGCGAAAGCCUGACGGAGCAACGCCGCGUGAGUGAUGAAGGUCUUCGGAUCGUAAAACUCUGUUAUUGGGGAAGAACAAAUGUGUAAGUAACUAUGCACGUCUUGACGGUACCUAAUCAGAAAGCCACGGCUAACUACGUG